AGACAAAGUAUAUGCUGACUGACAUUAACUCCAUUGCCAACACCUGCAAUAUACGAUAAGAUGAGAUUUGCAUUGUUCUUGGUUCUCCUGUUGGUCCUUUAUGGUCUAGUGGAAGCAGAAACUACCACCACCACCACUUCUGCUACCAAUAUCACUUCUACCAAUUCUACGAUCCCUGUACAAUGGUGUCUCUGUAGUUACCGAUGGUGGUGGUGGCGUUUUUGGCGAUGGUGUCCCUGCACAUCGAGUCUCCAGAAUUGACAAAAUAUCCAACUCAGAACUCGAUACAGCUGAAAAGAGUUCCCUGCAUUCCAGAAAAAAUGUUUUUUCAAGUUUCUCAAAGAUUAAAAGAUAAAAUUAU
Saccostrea cuccullata (small rock oyster) is the source of this 361-nucleotide long non-coding RNA. RefSeq lists it as uncharacterized. The record is from RefSeq and is a predicted model, not a curated record. The transcript has 3 exons. Lineage: Eukaryota; Metazoa; Mollusca; Bivalvia; Ostreida; Ostreidae.